Non-coding RNA from Pelobates cultripes (western spadefoot toad), 628 nucleotides. The record is from the annotation of a GenBank genome assembly. NCBI's taxonomy places the organism in Eukaryota, Metazoa, Chordata, Amphibia, Anura, Pelobatidae.
CUCAGACCAGGGCUCCUACGCCCGAACAUGUCUAACUAAACUAGAAAAGUUUGCGGAAGGAAUUGUGAUAGUGGGAGGUGACUGGAACAUGGUCCUCGACCACUCGAUGGACAGCUCCUCUAGUACUGCAGACAGCAGGCGCCAUCAGCGAACCAUUCUGGCAAAUGCGCUUCACUCCCAUCAAUUAAUGGACUGCUGGCGUCUGCUCCACCCGCAGGAUAGGGAUUAUACUUAUUAUUCCCCAGUGGUGAAAAGCUACUCAAGAAUUGAUAUGUUUCUCCUGAGCCACAGACACCUCCCCAUAAUGGAAGGGGCCAGCAUAGGUAACAUCACAUGGGCAGACCAUGCCCCUAUAUAUCUGACCAUAACUCUACGGGAUGCCCCCACACACACUUCACACUGGCGUCUCAAUGAGACCCUUCUAGGGUCCUAGAAGACAUGAAAAAGACUCUAAGUGACUAUUUCAUAGACAAUACCUCAGCAGACACAUCGGAUGCAUGGGUCUAGGAAGCUCAAAGGGGUCAUUAGAGGAGUCUUGAUAAAAUGGGGCUCUAGGAUUAAGAAGAAAGAACACUCAAACCGGACACCUUAUCGAACGCAAUACGAGCAAGAAACACUACACAAGAAC